RNAcentral lists this ribosomal RNA (215 nucleotides) under uncultured archaeon. RNAcentral describes it as "partial 16S ribosomal RNA". It matches the Rfam family "Archaeal small subunit ribosomal RNA", at positions 462 to 673 of the family's 1478-position model. The record is from RNAcentral.
UCGCCACGGUAAUACCCCGCUCUCCGAGUGGUGGGGACGUUUAUUGGGCCUAAAAGCAUCCGUAGCCGGCUGGGCAAGUCCCCCGUUAAAUCCAGCGAUUCAAUCGUUGGGACUGCGGGGGAUACUGCUCGGCUAGGGGGGCGGGAGAGGCCGACGGUAUUUCCGGGGUAGGGGUGAAAUCCUAUAAUCCCGGAAAGACCACCAGUGGCGAAGGC